UGGGGGAUAUUGCACAAUGGGGGAAACCCUGAUGCAGCAACGCCGCGUGAGGGAAGAAGGUUUUCGGAUUGUAAACCUCUGUCCUUGGUGACGAUAAUGACGGUAGCCAAGGAGGAAGCUCCGGCUAACUACGUGCC
Molecule: ribosomal RNA, 137 nt
Filed under: uncultured bacterium
Lineage: Bacteria
Description: partial 16S ribosomal RNA
Rfam family: Bacterial small subunit ribosomal RNA
Source: RNAcentral